This 163-nucleotide ribosomal RNA is filed under the name uncultured bacterium. Its description in RNAcentral is "partial 16S ribosomal RNA". It matches the Rfam family "Bacterial small subunit ribosomal RNA", at positions 355 to 511 of the family's 1533-position model. The record is from RNAcentral.
UAGGGAAUCUUCCACAAUGGACGAAAGUCUGAUGGAGCAACGCCGCGUGAGUGAAGAAGGGUUUCGGCUCGUAAAACUCUGUUGUUAAGAAGAACGUGGGUAAGAGUAACUGUUUACCCAGUGACGGUAUUUAACCAGAAAGCCACGGCUAACUACGUGCCAA